GCUAUAAUCCUAGCCUAAACUCACUAAACCUACCAAAAAGAUUAAUAAACCAUUUAAUUAAGUAGUAUAGGCGAUAGAAACUUAUCAUGAGCAAUAGAAAAAGUACUGUGAAGGAAAGGUGAAAUAAAAAUGAAAUAAAUAAUAAAAACAAUAAAAAGAAAAGACUAAACCUUCUACCUUUUGCAUAAUGGUCUAGUAAGUCUGACCUAGCAAAAAGAAAUAAAGUUAGCCACCCCGAAACUAGACGAGCUAUUUAAAAACAGCACUAUGGGGCCAACCCGUCUCUGUGGCAAAAGAGUGGGAAGAUUUUUAAAUAGAGGUGAAAAGCCUAACGAGCCUAGUGAUAGCUGGUUGCUUGAAAAAUGAAUAUAAGUUCAGCUUAAAGCACUCUAGAUUACAAAAUAAGAAUAGCACUUUAAAGUCAGUCAAUAGGGGUACAGCUCUAUUGACAAAGGAUACAACCUAUAACCUGAAUAAAGAUUAUACUAAUAAAAGACACUAACCACGUAGGCCUAAAAGCAGUCACCACAUGAAAGCGUCAAAGCUCAGUUUAACUAACACCCUUAUUAUUUGAAUAAAACAUCUAAAUUCACAACAAUAUCAAGCCUAUCUACUUAGUAGAUGAGUUUAUACUAGAAUGAGUAACAAGAAGACAUUCUUUAUAUGCGAGCGUAGAUCAGAACGAAAGAAUCACUGAUAAUUAACGACACAAAUAUUACAGCACAAGAAACUAUAUUUAAGUUACCGUUAACCCGACACAGGAGCAUUAAAAAAAGACUAAAAGAUUAAAAAGGAACUCGGCAACCAUGAAUUUCGCCUGUUUAUCAAAAACAUCGCCUCUUGCUAUAAUAGUAUAAGAGGUCACGCCUGCCCAGUGAUAAAUUUUAACGGCCGCGGUAUCAUGACCGUGCGAAGGUAGCGUAAUCACUUGUCCUUUAAAUAAGGACCUGUAUGAAAGGCAAAACGAAAAUUCAACUGUCUCUUUAAUCUUGUCAGUGAAAUUUAUCUCUUCGUGCAGAAGCGAAGAUAAUUAUAUAAGACGAGAAGACCCUAUGGAGCUUAAAACAUAAGACUAGCUACAUCAAUAUACAGACCAACCGGUGAAAGAUAAAUACAUGUAGUCGUUAGCCUAAGUUUUCGGUUGGGGCGACCACGGAAGAAAAAAAAUCCUCCGAGAUAAUAACUUAGAAAGAUACCUCAAAGACUAAAACAUUUGUUAUAAAUGAUCCACUAAGUGACCAACAAACCAAGUUACCCUAGGGAUAACAGCGCAAUCCUUUCUAAGAGUCCAUAUCGACGAAUGGGUUUACGACCUCGAUGUUGGAUCAGGACACCCAAAUGGUGCAGCCGCUAUUAAAGGUUCGUUUGUUCAACGAUUAAAGUCCUACGUGAUCUGAGUUCAGACCGGAGUAAUCCAGGUCAGUUUCUAUCUAUAAUAAAUUUUUUCUAGUACGAAAGGACCGAAGAAAUAGAGCCUCUUGAAAACAAAGCUCUAGAAAAACUGAAGACAAAUAAAGCAACCAUAAAAUAUACCCUUAGAGCAAGGGAUUA
This 1551-nucleotide ribosomal RNA is filed under the name Ommatotriton vittatus (southern banded newt). Its description in RNAcentral is "16S ribosomal RNA". It matches the Rfam family "Bacterial large subunit ribosomal RNA". Lineage: Eukaryota; Metazoa; Chordata; Amphibia; Caudata; Salamandridae. The record is from RNAcentral.